AGAGUUUGAUCCUGGCUCAGAGCGAACGNNNNGCGGCAGGCCUAACACAUGCAAGUCGAACGCCCCUUUCGGGGGGAGUGGCAGACGGGUGAGUAACGCGUGGGAACGUGCCCUUCAGUUCGGAAUAACCCAGGGAAACUUGGGCUAAUACCGGAUACGCCCUUUGGGGGAAAGAUUGAUCGCUGAAGGAUCGGCCCGCGUCUGAUUAGCUAGUUGGUGGGGUGAUGACUCACCAAGGCGACGAUCAGUAGCUGGUCUGAGAGGAUGAUCAGCCACACUGGGACUGAGACACGGCCCAGACUCCUACGGGAGGCAGCAGUGGGGAAUAUUGGACAAUGGGCGCAAGCCUGAUCCAGCCAUGCCGCGUGAGUGAUGAAGGCCCUAGGGUUGUAAAGCUCUUUCGCACGCGACGAUAAUGACGGUAGCGUGAGAAGAAGCCCCGGCUAACUUCGUGCCAGCAGCCGCGGUAAUACGAAGGGGGCUAGCGUUGCUCGGAAUCACUGGGCGUAAAGGGCGCGUAGGCGGCCGAUCAAGUCGGGGGUGAAAGCCUGUGGCUCAACCACAGAAUGGCCUUCGAUACUGGUUGGCUCGAGACCGGAAGAGGUGAGUGGAACUGCGAGUGUAGAGGUGAAAUUCGUAGAUAUUCGCAAGAACACCAGUGGCGAAGGCGGCUCACUGGUCCGGUUCUGNNGCUGAGGCGCGAAAGCGUGGGGAGCAAACAGGAUUAGAUACCCUAGUAGUCC
This 743-nucleotide ribosomal RNA is filed under the name uncultured bacterium. RNAcentral's name for it is "bacterial SSU rRNA". It matches the Rfam family "Bacterial small subunit ribosomal RNA", at positions 8 to 796 of the family's 1533-position model. The record is from RNAcentral.